GCUCGCCAGGGGGCGCUGGGCCCGGGCGGCCCCGCUGCGCCGGCGGAGCCACGUCAGCGUCCGGCCCGCGCCUCGCCCGGGUGGCGGCAUGGGGACGGCGGCCCUGGGAGCCGAGCUGGGCGUGCGGGCCCUGCUCUUCGCGGCCUUCCUGCUGACCGAGCUGCUCCCCCCGUUCCAGCGGCGGAUCCAGCCCGAGGAGCUGUGGCUCUACCGGAACCCGUACGUGGAGGCGGAGUACUUGCCCGCCGGGCCCAUGUUUGUGAUCGCGUUCCUCACGCCUCUGUCCCUCAUCUUCCUGGCCAAGUGUCUGAGGAAAGCGGACGCCGCUGACAGCAAGCAGGCCUGCCUCGCUGCCAGCCUUGCCCUGGCUCUGAAUGGUGUCUUUACCAACGUGAUAAAACUCAUAGUGGGGAGGCCACGCCCAGACUUCUUCUACCGCUGCUUCCCUGACGGGCUGGCCCACUCGGAUUUGACUUGCACGGGAGACAAGGAUGUGGUGAAUGAGGGCCGUAAAAGCUUCCCCAGUGGACAUUCUUCCUUUGCGUUUGCUGGUCUAGCCUUUGCUUCCUUCUACCUGGCGGGAAAGUUACACUGCUUCACACCACAGGGCCGAGGGAACUCCUGGAGGCUUUGUGCCUUUCUGUCGCCUCUACUCCUUGCAGCUGUGAUCGCACUCUCUCGCACGUGUGACUACAGGCACCACUGGCAAGAUGUGCUGGCUGGAUCCAUGAUUGGAACGGCGCUCGCCUACAUCUGCUACAGGCAGUACUAUCCCCCUCUGACUGACAGAGAAUGCCAUAAGCCAUUUCAGGACAAGCACAGACUUCCCUCUUCACAGAAGCCCAGUGAGCCUCACCACUUAGAUGUCUAGCUGAAUCUACCUCAAUGAAAAACCUCCAAACUGGAUGCCAUGCACAAGCCAAGAUUUCUGGCUUUUACCUCUUCCAGGGUAAAAGUGAGGACACAGCCACACGUGUCUGCUGCCACAGGACGGUACCUUCCCCCCCUCCCAAGCUAGAUCCUGAGGAAAUCCCUGGCCUGGCCUGGUCUGGCAAGGGAAUCUCUCUCACUAGAUUAAAUGUGAGCUCUCACCUACUCCUUCAGCACUGACCGUGCCUGCCACCACCGUGCUCCCCUACCAUGACGAUAAUGGACCAACUCCCUGAAACUUUAAGCAAGCCUCCAUUAAAUGCUCCCUUUUAUAUGCUGCCUUGGUCAUGGUAUCAUCACAGCAAUAAAAAAGUAACUAAGGCAGAAGUGAAAAUAAAGGGUAUAGGUAAUUUCCAGAUAAGGAAGUAAAAAUGGCCCUUUUAUGUCUAUCAAGAGACUCAACCGUUUCCACAAUAGGAACAAUUGAUUUAGGGGUGGUACACACCUUUUAUCCCAGCAGGUGAGAAGAAACAGGCAGAUCUAUGAGUUGGAGGCCAGCCUGGUCUCCAGAGUGAGUUUCAGGAUAGCCAGAGCUACACAGAAAUACCCUGUCUUCAAAAACCAAACAAAGAGAGAGAGAGAGAAAGAAAGUGAAAGAGAAAGAGAAAGAAAGAAAAAGAAAUGAGAGAAAAAGAAAGAAAAGAACAAAAGAAAAAAGCAAGAAAGAGAGAGAAAGAAAGUGAAAGAGAAAGAAAGACAAAAGAAGAAAGGAAAAAAAGAAAAAAGAGAGAAAGAAGGAAGAAAAAGAAAAAGAAAGGAAGGAAGAAAGGAAGAAAAAGAAGGACGAGAAAGAGAAAGAAAACAAAAGAGCAAAGGAGAGAAAGAAGGAAGAAGGAAAGAGAGAGAAGG
RNA transcript from Meriones unguiculatus (Mongolian gerbil), 1779 nucleotides. It is a transcript of the gene named phospholipid phosphatase 5, with no coding region annotated. The record is from RefSeq and is a predicted model, not a curated record. The transcript has 8 exons. NCBI's taxonomy places the organism in Eukaryota, Metazoa, Chordata, Mammalia, Rodentia, Muridae.